GAUGAACGCUGGCGGCGUGCCUAAUACAUGCAAGUCGAGCGAACGGACGAGAAGCUUGCUUCUCUGAUGUUAGCGGCGGACGGGUGAGUAACACGUGGAUAACCUACCUAUAAGACUGGGAUAACUUCGGGAAACCGUAGCUAAUACCGGAUAAUAUUUUGAACCGCAUGGUUCAAAAGUGAAAGACGGUCUUGCUGUCACUUAUAGAUGGAUCCGCGCUGCAUUAGCUAGUUGGUAAGGUAACGGCUUACCAAGGCAACGAUGCAUAGCCGACCUGAGAGGGUGAUCGGCCACAACGGAACUGAGACACGGUCCAGACUCCUACGGGAGGCAGCAGUAGGGAAUCUUCCGCAAUGGGCGAAAGCCUGACGGAGCAACGCCGCGUGAGUGAUGAAGGUCUUCGGAUCGUAAAACUCUGUUAUUAGGGAAGAACAUAUGUGUAAGUAACUGUGCACAGCUUGACGGUACCUAAUCAGAAAGCCACGGCUAACUACGUG
RNAcentral lists this ribosomal RNA (497 nucleotides) under uncultured bacterium. Its description in RNAcentral is "partial 16S ribosomal RNA". It matches the Rfam family "Bacterial small subunit ribosomal RNA", at positions 28 to 507 of the family's 1533-position model. The record is from RNAcentral.